Long non-coding RNA from Sciurus carolinensis (gray squirrel), 1790 nucleotides. RefSeq lists it as uncharacterized. NCBI's taxonomy places the organism in Eukaryota, Metazoa, Chordata, Mammalia, Rodentia, Sciuridae. The record is from RefSeq and is a predicted model, not a curated record. The transcript is spliced from 3 exons.
CGGAGGAUCCAGUGACUUCCUGCACCAACUGCACCACCUAGGAACCUGAGGAGGAAGCUACAGUAGGUGCCAUCUGGGUCUGCUCUUGGAGAAAAGGAGAAUAUUUCAAAACCUAAAUGUUUGCAGAUUUAACAUGGAAAGUACAUCCAGGACACACUGGAGCAGGACAUCACACUGCCUGAUGGAGAAGGAUCCCACAUCUCUCUCACUUUCCACAGGGAGCUCAUUUUGGAGCCACUUACCCUUUCCUCAGAGGAGGUUCAUGGCAGGACUGGAAGAAGAAGCUAUCUGAAGACAGUGAUUCUUUUAUCUUUUAUGAAAACAUAAUUCAUGGAUGGUUGGAACUGCUUGUACCUCACAGGAAGAUGAGGACCUCUGAAGUUAAAGAAGGGUAGAAAAAGGAUAGAUAGGGAGCAUGGGUGAGGUAUAAAAGUUCUUCCAAGUGUAGAGACCAGACCACUACUCCAUAUCUAUACUUGGGUUUGCUCUGUAGAUGUCCCAUUAAGGCUAGACCUCCCCUUAUGACAGAUUUUUUUUUUUAGUUUGAAUCAGGAGAUCCACAGAGGAGGAAGAGAUUUUCAGAUUUUCCCUAAUCACAAUACACCUUGCAUUCUCAGCAGAUGUGGCAUCAUAAAGAAGGGUCUCAAAACAGGUCCUUCAGGGCAAAAUUGUCAUAGAUAUUUCAAUAGUCUGGGAACCUCCAAAGGACUAUAGUAUAUAUACAGAUAUAGACAACAUCUAUAAUAUUAAAAUGUUCACAUUCCACUGUUAAGUGGUGAUCAGUAGAUAAAAAAUGUCUAAAAUAAUUCCUUGGGGGGAAGGUAAUAAUGAAAUAUGGUUUGAAAAAAACUAUACACAGUCACCUCUCUUGCUUACUCAGCAACCUCUUUUGUUGGUAGUGGUAGUAGGAGUGGUGAUGUUGUUGAUAAUAAAGUAAUAGAAAUUAAAUUCUGCCUCUUUGGGUUAAGAGGCUUGGCUAUGUGUUUAUGUGUAUUGAAUUGCAUUUUUAAGGCAAUACACAGAAAUUAAUUAGAAAAGCAGGUAUUUCCUAUGAAGAAAACUUAAAAUUAUUUUUUCUCAAACAUGUAGUCUGCAUGACCAAAGAAACUGAAUCAUAAAGCAAGAAACAUAAAGGGAAUUAAUAAAAUGAAGUUUCAAUUUACAUAUUUAAAUGAAGUGGAUGGUGCCUAUAUGCCAACACUAUGUUGGAGUGUUGACCCUAUAUUUUCUCCUAGAACUUCCAAUGUUUCUGGUCUAAUUUCUAGGUCUUUAGUCCACUUUAAAUUAACUUUUAGGAAAAGUAAGAUAGGGAUAUAGUUUCAUUCUUCUACAUAUGGAUACACAGUUUCCCCAGCACCAUUUGUUUAAAAUGCUAUCUUUUCUCCAACAUAUGUUUUUUGGCAAAUUUGUUAAGGAUCAGAUGACUGUAUGUUUAUUUUUCUCUGUGGUUUCUAUUAUAUUCCAUCAGUAUUCAUUUCUGUUUUUAUACCAAUAACAUACUGUUUUUGUUAGUAUAGCUCUAUAGUGCAAUUUGAAUGAUUUAUUGUGAGGCCACCAAUAUCACUUUUGUUUCUCAGUAUCAUUUUGACUAUUUUGGGUCUUUUGUUAUUACAUAUGAGUUUUAGAUCUGUUUUUGCUCCUCAAACUGAAAAUGUAAACCAAGAAUUGAUCAAUGGAAUCACCUCAAAUUGAAUAUCUGCACAGUGAAAAAAGAGCAUGCAUGACAAUGUAUAAUGAUGGGGUGUGGUGGGGGAAGAGAAGAAUGAAGGAACUUUGAAUGGUUAGAGGAA